This 266-nucleotide ribosomal RNA is filed under the name uncultured prokaryote. RNAcentral describes it as "partial 16S ribosomal RNA". It matches the Rfam family "Bacterial small subunit ribosomal RNA", at positions 524 to 788 of the family's 1533-position model. The record is from RNAcentral.
UACGUAGGUGGCAAGCGUUAUCCGGAAUUAUUGGGCGUAAAGAGCGCGCAGGUGGUUGAUUAAGUCUGAUGUGAAAGCCCACGGCUUAACCGUGGAGGGUCAUUGGAAACUGGUCGACUUGAGUGCAGAAGAGGGAAGUGGAAUUCCAUGUGUAGCGGUGAAAUGCGUAGAGACAUGGAGGAACACCAGUGGCGAAGGCGGCUUCCUGGUCUGUAACUGACACUGAGGCGCGAAAGCGUGGGGAGCAAACAGGAUUAGAUACCCCU